RNAcentral lists this ribosomal RNA (441 nucleotides) under uncultured bacterium. RNAcentral describes it as "bacterial SSU rRNA". It matches the Rfam family "Bacterial small subunit ribosomal RNA", at positions 338 to 795 of the family's 1533-position model. The record is from RNAcentral.
CCUACGGGGCGCACCAGUGGGGAAUUUUCCGCAAUGGGCGAAAGCCUGACGGAGCAAUGCCGCGUGGAGGUAGAAGGCCCACGGGUCGUGAACUUCUUUUCCCGGAGAAGAAGCAAUGACGGUAUCUGGGGAAUAAGCAUCGGCUAACUUCGUGCCAGCAGCCGCGGUAAUACGAAGGGGGCUAGCGUUGUUCGGAAUUACUGGGCGUAAAGCGCGCGUAGGCGGAUAGAUAAGUCAGAGGUGAAAUCCCGGGGCUCAACCCCGGAAUUGCCUUUGAUACUGUUUAUCUUGAGUGCAGAAGAGGUAGUGGAAUUCCGAGUGUAGAGGUGUAAUUCGUAGAUAUUCGGAGGAACACCAGUGGCGAAGGCGGCUUACUGGUCUGCAACUGACGCUGAGGCGCGAAAGCGUGGGGAGCAAACAGGAUUAGAUACCCUUGUAGUC